UUGGAGAGAAGUGAGGAAGCUGGACUGGUGCAGAGACUCUCCAGGAUCCAAAGGACACCUUUGUUCCCUCCACCCCAUCCCAGCUGGGCCAAGUGCUCUGCUCCCAUAGCUGUGGGCCUGGGUCAAGAUCUAUUUGACUGCUUUGUACCUUUUUAUUGUUAGAACCACAAAACCAAGAAAGGGAAACUGAGUGACUACAGGGGAAACAGUGAAAGAGACUAUACAUAAAGUGUGGCCAGAUACAAACAGAAUAAAAGGAAGAAGCUCAGGAGUGGAUUCAACAUGAGCAAAAAUGGAUCAAAGCUGAGUUGGAGUCCAGACUUGCAGAGAUCAGGCUUCUCAUGACUGAAGGUGGGGAUGGAGUCUCUCUUCACACAGAUCAUUGGUGAGUGGAGGAAAACAAAGUUCUGCCCAACCCAGGUAUG
Molecule: long non-coding RNA, 425 nt
Organism: Mauremys reevesii (Reeves's turtle)
Lineage: Eukaryota; Metazoa; Chordata; Testudines; Geoemydidae
Exons: 4
Source: RefSeq, a predicted model, not a curated record